UGAAAAUAACAAAUCCAAAAUACCAGUAAAAUUAUCAAAUGAUGGGAAAUCAAACAAAGACUACCAAAAUCUCCAAUCAGAUAGGUGCGAGUGUGCGACAAUGAGAAUCAACCAAACAGAUGAAAAUUUAAACUCAACAAAAACUUAAAACCUAUCUAAAUUAUCAUUGAGCUUAAUAAGAAGGAUAAAUUACACAAGGAUAUAAUAAGCUUCAGAUACAUACUACUGAAACUAACUUCAUUUUUUAUCAGGAUAAAGGAUAGACUAAUCCCAAGGUUAACCAUAUUGUAGAAAUGCUACACCUGACCCAAAUUUCCCAACUAAUCAACUCCAACCCAACCUCCCACAGCCCACAACAGUUGCUUCUUUUUCUUUUUACUCGUCAUCAUCAUCCUGCAAAAAAAGAAAAAAAUAUUAAUCCACCUGAAUUAUAAUAAAUUCAAGAAUUUAAAUUUUAGAAUUAGAGAACUAUACGGAAUUUAUACAAACCUCUCCACUCUCAUCAUCGUCUUCAUCAUCGUCGUGAACUUCUGAUCUUGACUUGUCAGACUCUUCAUCGUCAGCUGGUUCUUUUUCCUCGGCCU
RNAcentral lists this long non-coding RNA (584 nucleotides) under Panax ginseng (ginseng). Its description in RNAcentral is "long non-coding RNA (PGIN_LNC003804)". The record is from RNAcentral. Lineage: Eukaryota; Viridiplantae; Streptophyta; Magnoliopsida; Apiales; Araliaceae.